AGUGAACGCUGGCGGUAGGCCUAACACAUGCAAGUCGAACGGCAGCACAGUAAGAGCUUGCUCUUACGGGUGGCGAGUGGCGGACGGGUGAGGAAUACAUCGGAAUCUACUUUUUCGUGGGGGAUAACGUAGGGAAACUUACGCUAAUACCGCAUACGACCUACGGGUGAAAGCAGGGGAUCUUCGGACCUUGCGCGAUUGAAUGAGCCGAUGUCGGAUUAGCUAGUUGGCGGGGUAAAGGCCCACCAAGGCGACGAUCCGUAGCUGGUCUGAGAGGAUGAUCAGCAAAACUGGAACUGAGACACGGUCCAAACUCCUACGGGAGGAAGAAGUGGGGAAUAUUGGCAAAUGGGCGAAAGCCUGAUCCAGCCAUACCGCGUGGGUGAAGAAGGCCUUCGGGUUGUAAAGCCCUUUUGUUGGGAAAGAAAAGAAGCAGGUUAAUACCCCGCUGUCCUGACGGUACCAAAAGAAUAAGCACCGGCUACCUUCGU
Molecule: ribosomal RNA, 491 nt
Filed under: uncultured bacterium
Lineage: Bacteria
Description: partial 16S ribosomal RNA
Rfam family: Bacterial small subunit ribosomal RNA
Source: RNAcentral